Molecule: ribosomal RNA, 441 nt
Filed under: uncultured bacterium
Lineage: Bacteria
Description: partial 16S ribosomal RNA
Rfam family: Bacterial small subunit ribosomal RNA
Source: RNAcentral
CCUACGGGAGGCAGCAGUGGGGAAUAUUGCACAAUGUGGGGAACCCUGAUGCAGCGACGCCGCGUGGGUGAAGGAGUAUUUCGGUAUGUAAAGCCCUAUCAGCAGGGAAGAACAAUGACGGUACCUGACUAAGAAGCACCGGCUAAAUACGUGCCCGCCGCCGCGGUAAUACGUAUGGUGCAAGCUUUAUCCGUGUUUACUGGGUGUAAAGGGAGCGCAAGCGGCGCGGUAAGCCUGGUGGGAAAGCCCGCGGCCCAACCGAGGGACUGCAUUGGGAAGUGGCGCGCGGGAGUGCCGGAGGGGUAGGCGGAAUUCCUAGGGUAGCGGUGAAAUGCGGAGAUAUUAGGAGGAACACCAGUGGCGAAGGCGGCCUACUGGACGGUGACUGACGCUGAGGCUCGAAAGCGUGGGGAGCAAACAGGAUUAGAUACCCCAGUAGUC